RNAcentral lists this long non-coding RNA (1183 nucleotides) under Medicago truncatula (barrel medic). RNAcentral describes it as "lncRNA gene39070". The record is from RNAcentral. Lineage: Eukaryota; Viridiplantae; Streptophyta; Magnoliopsida; Fabales; Fabaceae.
GAACAUAACCUACUUGAGUUGGUCUUGUGGUAUUGAAUUGAGAUAUGGGAGUGUUGUAACGCCUUCGCUUGGUGGGCAUGUAACGCCCGAGGCUGAUGAGGGCGGGGAGUGGUCCGGCUCCUGGCAUGCUUCUAGGCAAAACUGAAUCACAUCGGAAUGAGAGAGAUCUUGAGGCCGUGCAGGUAUGAGACUGUAUGGUUAAAGGAAAGCUUAUAAGAAUUGUUUGGUACUACCUAUAUCAACAAGAUGCAUCUUCUUUUCGGUAGCUCAUUCCAUAAGAACUCCACAGUUAAGCGUGCUUGACUCGGAGCAAUUUUGGGAUGGGUGACCUACCGGGAAGUUUUCCGGUAAGCGUGCGAGUGAGGACAAAACAUGCUGAAAAGACUCGUGUUGGUUUGUGGGGUCAGUCGGCAAUCCUGAAAGCAGUCUGGGGUGUUACAAGUGUGCUCCUCCUCGAGAUUUCAUGUUUGAUUCCCUAUGAUGCCAAUUUAGGUAAGCUAGUUUAGCUUCUUAAAAAAAAAAAAAAAACUACUAAGAACAUGUACUUUUGAAGUAUAAUGGUGAUUGAGAUUUGUAUAAAGAGUUUUUAGCUCAUUUCUAUUUUUGAUAAAUGAAAAAAAAGGUAGCACGUCAAAUGAAAACUAGAUUGACAACUCAUUAAAUAAGAAGAUGAGAUGCAAUGCAUGAGAAAUUUAUAUAACUGAUGUGUAGAGAUGAGGUGAUGGAUGGGUUUUAAAGGAGAAAUAGACAUCUUAGAUAAACUUGUUCGAUUGUAACAAUCUUUCAAUCAUGUUUAUCGAAUUUGUCAAGCCUAUCAUCAAUUAUUAUUUAUAUUUUUAAAGAUCAAUAUUUUCUUUUUUAUUUGUGAUCCUUCAUUUUUUUUUUGUAAUGAGAGUUCUUUGAACAAUAUUACAUAAUGAUUUAAACGAUGAUUUUUCAAACUCAUCUAUCACAAAGCCAUAAAAGUUCUACUUUGACAAGAUCCCGUAGCUAAAUGUAAAAUAAUUCAAGAGAUGCAAUUUUUUAGGUUAUGCUAACAAAUGUCCUUAGAAAUAUAAAAAUAGAAAUAAUUGAAGAAUUUAAGAAAACAAAAAUCAAUUUUUAAAGUUUCAAUAUAUAACAAAUGCAUAAUUUCGAAGAUAGAGUUUUUUCAUUGGACUUAAUAUCAACUGCAUAUAGAGAG